This 204-nucleotide ribosomal RNA is filed under the name uncultured bacterium. Its description in RNAcentral is "partial 16S ribosomal RNA". It matches the Rfam family "Bacterial small subunit ribosomal RNA", at positions 133 to 334 of the family's 1533-position model. The record is from RNAcentral.
CCAGUGAGGAAUACCGGCGAGAAAUCGCCGACAAUACCGCAUAGGCUACGCGGGGUCACAGCCACGAGCAAAGCUCCGCAAGGGGCGCUGGAAGAGGGGCCCGUGGCCGAUUAGCUGGGUUGGUGGGGUAAGGGCCUACCAAGGCGACGAUCGGUUGCUGGUCUGAGAGGACGAUCAGCCACACUGGGAUUGAGAACGGCCCAG